AUUCUUUACAUCAGCAACAGACUGGAUGGAGGCAGGAGGCAGUGCGGACCAGAGAGAGGAGUUGUUGCCCGCAGGGUGCCCUUUGAAGACUGCCUUUGCCACCAUCUGCAGCGCGUGGGGCAAGAUAUUAGAAUGGCAUCAGUGUUUGCUUUCACUAAGAGGAAGCGGAGUCCUGGGAGAAAGAGCCGCAGCCUGUGAUUGCACAGCCUUCCCUUGAUGGUACCUUUACCCUGGCAUGUGAGCUAUCAGCCGACUGGGGAUGCUUUCAAAUGAGACAGGAAACAGUUUAGGUGACAAUGAGAAACUCUGGUCUCAGUGGGAUGGAAAUAGAGCCUGGAAGAAAUGGGAAACUUUAAUAUCUGGAUGGAUUCCUUAAACAGCAUCCCCCUGAAGUAAAAGCUUGAAAAAUAAAGUCCACCUGGGUGGUGACUGUCAAGACAGGCCCUGCCCCGUGGGCACUGGCUGAGGAAUUUGGUGUAUUCCACACAUGCCGGAGUUUCCAAGGAGGAAACGUGUUUGAAGUCCAAAGAACAAGGACGGCCUCUGCUUGCUAAUCAGAAAAGAAGAAAUGCGUGAGGAUUGAAAUUGGCAACCAAUCUUUGAAAGCCUAGUAGACACCCGAUGCCUUCAACAUGUCUUAUAUGACCCUUGCCUCCAGCCUGUAAGGCUGGAGUGCAGUGGUGUGAUCUCAGCUCACUGAAACCUCCGCCUCCCGGAUUCAAGCAAUUCUCUUGCCUCAGCCUCCUGAGUAGCUGGGAUUACAG
This is a long non-coding RNA of Homo sapiens (human), 764 nucleotides long. RefSeq lists it as uncharacterized. The record is from RefSeq and is a predicted model, not a curated record. The transcript has 6 exons. NCBI's taxonomy places the organism in Eukaryota, Metazoa, Chordata, Mammalia, Primates, Hominidae.